AUGGCUGUCGUCAGCUCGUGUCGUGAGAUGUUGGGUUAAGUCCCGCAACGAGCGCAACCCCUACUGUGUGUUGUAUCACUCACACGGGACUGCCGAGAGAAACUCGGAGGAAGGUGGGGAUGACGUCAAGUCAGCAUGGCCCUUACGUCUUGGGCUACACCCACGCUACAAUGGCCGGUACAACGGGCUGCGAAACCGCGAGGUGGAGCUAAUCCCUUAAAGCCGGUCUCAGUUCGGAUUGUAGGCUGCAACUCGCCUACAUGAAGCCGGAGUUGCUAGUAACCGCAGGUCAGCAUUACUGCGGUGAAUAUGUUCCCGGGCCUUGUACACACCGCCCGUCACGUCAUGAAAGCUGGCAACACCCGAAGCCGGUGGGCCAACCGCAAGGAGGCAGCCGUCGAAGGUGGGGUUGGUGAUUGGGACGAAGUCGUAACAAGGUAGCCGUACCGGAAGGUGCGGCUGGAUCACCUCCUUUCUAGGGAGAUCCGAGUUCCGACCCUUCGGUGGGGUCGGAGCGUUGAAGGCUCCCAGGUUGAUCGCACGGUCGAUCUGCCGCCCCCGUCAGGUGGGUGGCGCUCGAGCGGUCCGCAAGGAUCACUCGGGGCAGGCCAAGUGCGACCUGGCAAACACCGAAACCCAUUCGAACAUCCCGAACGGACGUUCCUGUCACUCUUCAAGGGUUAAGGGUGCAGCCGCCGGCGGCGAUCGCUUGUCGACCGCUUCGGUCGGCACGGCCCCGGCGGGCGUUUAGCUCAGCUGGUUAGAGCACUGCCCUGAUAAGGCAGAGGUCUCUGGUUCGAGUCCAGAAACGCCCACCACAUUGCCCGCGGCAAGGGGACGUAGCUCAGUUGGCAGAGCAUCUCCUUUGCAAGGAGAGGGUCAGGAGUUCGAGUCUCCUCGUCUCCACCAUCCCGGCAAAUCACACAGCGGAGGGUCAGAUCCUGCGCCAGGCCGCACCUUACCGAUAAUUGAAGACUCCGGGUGGACCCCGGGACGACCGAAACCCGAAGGCGCUGUUCAAUGGACGGCUCCGAGGCAGGUCCUCGAGCCGUCUUUGUGUGUCCAUCUCACUCGCUCCCCUGAUCCGUGAUCUCCACCGGAGCUCACCGACCAGCGGAUCGCUGGAUCACCGCCCGGCAACGGGACGGGAUGCUUGCCGCGAGGCGGGCCGCACCUUAACAACUGGAAUUGUUGUUCGGCAGUAAAUCGAUUUUCGAUUUCGUCGAGUGAUCAAGGAUACGAUCCCGAUCGAUCCCAUCCGCGACUGGCCGCCAGGUCAGAUGCUGGAGGGGGUCAAGCUACAAAGGGCACGGGGUGGAUGCCUUGGCGCCAAGAGCCGAUGAAGGACGUGGCAGGCUGCGUAAAGCUUCGGGGAGUCGCGAGCAGACGUUGAUCCGGAGAUGUCCGAAUGGGGAAACCCGG
This 1422-nucleotide small RNA is filed under the name uncultured Chloroflexota bacterium. Its description in RNAcentral is "bacterial SSU rRNA". The stretch from base 1 to 475 matches the Rfam family "Bacterial small subunit ribosomal RNA", at positions 1045 to 1533 of the family's 1533-position model. Lineage: Bacteria; Bacillati; Chloroflexota. The record is from RNAcentral.